CCUCACGCGAUCACGCCAGCCCUACCCUGCCGCCUCGCCGCCUUGAUGUGGCGCCGGGCGCCAGCGCGAUCUAGGUCUGCACCAAGGAUCAGAUUAUAGACCAUUUUCAUGGCCUAAAGGGUCAUACAGUCCAUCUACCAAAUCCCUGAUGUAUAACUACAACUUAGUGGUACCUAAGGGACUUGAAGAUUAACGAUUUUGGAUUAAAUCAUGGAAGAUUCAGCGGCGGCAAUUCAAGUUAAACUUUAUAUGUUUUUUUGCGUUUAAAUAUAUUUUUCGCCUAGUUCUUGAGAAUGAAACUAUAUUGAACAAUUCAUUUGUUCAUUGUCUUGCCUGAAUGCAUAGUCUUGGUCAAUUAAU
Triticum aestivum (bread wheat) is the source of this 360-nucleotide long non-coding RNA. RefSeq lists it as uncharacterized. Lineage: Eukaryota; Viridiplantae; Streptophyta; Magnoliopsida; Poales; Poaceae. The transcript is spliced from 2 exons. The record is from RefSeq and is a predicted model, not a curated record.